RNAcentral lists this ribosomal RNA (406 nucleotides) under uncultured bacterium. RNAcentral's name for it is "partial 16S ribosomal RNA". It matches the Rfam family "Bacterial small subunit ribosomal RNA", at positions 30 to 526 of the family's 1533-position model. The record is from RNAcentral.
AUUGAACGCUGGCGGCAGGCUUAACACAUGCAAGUCGAGCGAGCGGCGGACGGGUGAGUAAUGUCUGGGAAACUGCCUGAUGGAGGGGGAUAACUACUGGAAACGGUAGCUAAUACCGCAUACCAUCAGAUGUGCCCAGAUGGGAUUAGCUUGUAGGUGGGGUAAUGGCUCACCUAGGCGACGAUCCCUAGCUGGUCUGAGAGGAUGACCAGCGAAACUGGAACUGUGACACGGUCCAGACUCCUACGGGAGGUAGCAGUGGGGAAUAUUGAGCAAUGGGCGCAAUCCUGAUGAAGCCAAGCCGCGUGUGUGAAGAAGGCCUUCGGGUUGUAAAGCACGUUCAGCGAGGAGGCGUUACUGGCAGAAGAAGCACCGGCUAACUCCGUGUCAGCAGCCGCGGUAAUAC